AUACGUAGGGGGCGAGCGUUGUCCGGAUUUAUUGGGCGUAAAGGGUGCGUAGGCGGCCUUGUAAGUCAGAUGUGAAAGAUCAUGGCUUAACUGUGGUAAGCAUUUGAAACUGCAGGGCUUGAGUACAGGAGAGGAGAGUGGAAUUCCUAGUGUAGCGGUGAAAUGCGUAGAUAUUAGGAGGAAUACCAGUGGCGAAGGCGACUCGCUGGACUGAUACUGACGCUGAGGCACGAAAGCGUGGGGAGCAAACAGGAUUAGAUACCCUGGUAGUCCACGCUAUAAACGAUGAGUGCUAGGUGUCGGGGGUCAAACCUCGGUGCCGCAGUUAACACAAUAAGUGCUCCGCCUGGGGAGUACGGUCGCAAGACUGAAACUUAAAUGAAUUGGCGGGG
RNAcentral lists this ribosomal RNA (392 nucleotides) under uncultured bacterium. Its description in RNAcentral is "partial 16S ribosomal RNA". It matches the Rfam family "Bacterial small subunit ribosomal RNA", at positions 523 to 918 of the family's 1533-position model. The record is from RNAcentral.